Molecule: ribosomal RNA, 465 nt
Filed under: uncultured ammonia-oxidizing beta proteobacterium
Lineage: Bacteria; Pseudomonadati; Pseudomonadota; Betaproteobacteria
Description: bacterial SSU rRNA
Rfam family: Bacterial small subunit ribosomal RNA
Source: RNAcentral
GGAGGAAAGCAGGGGAUCGUAAGACCUAGCGUUAAUGGAGCGGCCGAUAUCGGAUUAGCUAGUUGGUGGGGUAAAGGCCUACCAAGGCGACGAUCCGUAGCUGGUCUGAGAGGACGACCAGCCACACUGGAACUGAGACACGGUCCAGACUCCUACGGGAGGCAGCAGUGGGGAAUUUUGGACAAUGGGGGCAACCCUGAUCCAGCCAUUCCGCGUGAGUGAAGAAGGCCUUCGGGUUGUAAAGCUCUUUCGCAAGGGAAGAAAACUUAGGCUCUAACAUAGUCUGAGGCUGACGGUACCUUGAUAAGAAGCACCGGCUAACUACGUGCCAGCAGCCGCGGUAAUACGUAGGGUGCGAGCGUUAAUCGGAAUUACUGGGCGUAAAGCGUGCGCAGGCGGUUUUGAAAGUCAGAUGUGAAAUCCCCGGGCUUAACCUGGGAACUGCGUUUGAAACUACAAAGCUAG